RNAcentral lists this ribosomal RNA (253 nucleotides) under uncultured bacterium. RNAcentral's name for it is "partial 16S ribosomal RNA". It matches the Rfam family "Bacterial small subunit ribosomal RNA", at positions 524 to 776 of the family's 1533-position model. The record is from RNAcentral.
UACGUAGGGGGCUAGCGUUGUCCGGAAUCAUUGGGCGUAAAGAGCGUGUAGGCGGUCCGGUAAGUCCGCUGUGAAAGUCGGGGGCUCAACCCUCGAAUGCCGGUGGAUACUGUCGGGCUAGAGUGCGGAAGAGGCGAGUGGAAUUCCUGGUGUAGCGGUGAAAUGCGCAGAUAUCAGGAGGAACACCUAUUGCGAAGGCAGCUCGCUGGGGCGUAACUGACGCUGAGACGCGAAAGCGUGGGGAGCAAACAGG